This 66-nucleotide transfer RNA is filed under the name Gastroptychus rogeri. RNAcentral describes it as "tRNA-Leu". The record is from RNAcentral. Lineage: Eukaryota; Metazoa; Arthropoda; Malacostraca; Decapoda; Chirostylidae.
ACUAAAAUGACAGAUAAUAUGUACAAAAUUUAGGCUUUUGUUAUGAGAUAAAUAUCUCUUUUAGAA